UGCUGGAGGUAUCAGAAGUGCGAAUGCUGACAUAAGUAACGAUAAAGCGGGUGAAAAGCCCGCUCGCCGGAAGACCAAGGGUUCCUGUCCAACGUUAAUCGGGGCAGGGUGAGUCGACCCCUAAGGCGAGGCCGAAAGGCGUAGUCGAUGGGAAACAGGUUAAUAUUCCUGUACUUGGUGUUACUGCGAAGGGGGGACGGAGAAGGCUAUGUUGGCCGGGCGACGGUUGUCCCGGUUUAAGCGUGUAGGCUGGUUUUCCAGGCAAAUCCGGAAAAUCAAGGCUGAGGCGUGAUGACGAGGCACUACGGUGCUGAAGCAACAAAUGCCCUGCUUCCAGGAAAAGCCUCUAAGCAUCAGGUAACAUCAAAUCGUACCCCAAACCGACACAGGUGGUCAGGUAGAGAAUACCAAGGCGCUUGAGAGAACUCGGGUGAAGGAACUAGGCAAAAUGGUGCCGUAACUUCGGGAGAA
RNAcentral lists this ribosomal RNA (471 nucleotides) under Escherichia coli. RNAcentral describes it as "partial 23S ribosomal RNA". It matches the Rfam family "Bacterial large subunit ribosomal RNA", at positions 1271 to 1744 of the family's 2925-position model. The record is from RNAcentral. Lineage: Bacteria; Pseudomonadati; Pseudomonadota; Gammaproteobacteria; Enterobacterales; Enterobacteriaceae.